Molecule: microRNA, 21 nt
Filed under: Fragaria vesca subsp. vesca
Lineage: Eukaryota; Viridiplantae; Streptophyta; Magnoliopsida; Rosales; Rosaceae
Description: fve-miR11310
Source: miRBase by way of RNAcentral
AGGGAUCACAACUCCAGUGCU